CGCGGGGUAGCUCAGUUGGCAGAGCAAGGGGCUCAUAACCCUCCAGUCGCAGGUUCGAGUCCUGCCCCCGCUA
This 73-nucleotide transfer RNA is filed under the name bacterium. RNAcentral's name for it is "tRNA-Met". It matches the Rfam family "tRNA". Rfam says of the family: Transfer RNA (tRNA) molecules are approximately 80 nucleotides in length. Their secondary structure includes four short double-helical elements and three loops (D, anti-codon, and T loops). Further hydrogen bonds mediate the characteristic L-shaped molecular structure. tRNAs have two regions of fundamental functional importance: the anti-codon, which is responsible for specific mRNA codon recognition, and the 3' end, to which the tRNAs corresponding amino acid is attached (by aminoacyl-tRNA synthetases). tRNAs cope with the degeneracy of the genetic code in two manners: having more than one tRNA (with a specific anti-codon) for a particular amino acid; and 'wobble' base-pairing, i.e. permitting non-standard base-pairing at the 3rd anti-codon position. The record is from RNAcentral.